Molecule: ribosomal RNA, 230 nt
Filed under: uncultured bacterium
Lineage: Bacteria
Description: partial 16S ribosomal RNA
Rfam family: Bacterial small subunit ribosomal RNA
Source: RNAcentral
CCUUAUAGUGGGGGAGUAGCCUUUCGUAAAGGAAGAUUAAUACCGCAUAAGAUUGUAGUAUCGCAUGAUAUAGCAAUUAAAGGAGCAAUCCGCUAUAAGAUGGACCCGCGUCGCAUUAGCUAGUUGGUGAGGUAAUGGCUCACCAAGGCGACGAUGCGUAGCCGACCUGAGAGGGUGAUCGGCCACAUUGGGACUGAGACACGGCCCAGACUCCUACGGGAGGCAGCAUG